Molecule: ribosomal RNA, 2542 nt
Filed under: Escherichia coli
Lineage: Bacteria; Pseudomonadati; Pseudomonadota; Gammaproteobacteria; Enterobacterales; Enterobacteriaceae
Description: partial 23S ribosomal RNA
Rfam family: Bacterial large subunit ribosomal RNA
Source: RNAcentral
CAUAUUGUGAGCUCGAUGAGUAGGGCGGGACACGUGGUAUCCUGUCUGAAUAUGGGGGGACCAUCCUCCAAGGCUAAAUACUCCUGACUGACCGAUAGUGAACCAGUACCGUGAGGGAAAGGCGAAAAGAACCCCGGCGAGGGGAGUGAAAAAGAACCUGAAACCGUGUACGUACAAGCAGUGGGAGCCUCUUUAUGGGGUGACUGCGUACCUUUUGUAUAAUGGGUCAGCGACUUAUAUUCUGUAGCAAGGUUAACCGAAUAGGGGAGCCGAAGGGAAACCGAGUCUUAACUGGGCGUUAAGUUGCAGGGUAUAGACCCGAAACCCGGUGAUCUAGCCAUGGGCAGGUUGAAGGUUGGGUAACACUAACUGGAGGACCGAACCGACUAAUGUUGAAAAAUUAGCGGAUGACUUGUGGCUGGGGGUGAAAGGCCAAUCAAACCGGGAGAUAGCUGGUUCUCCCCGAAAGCUAUUUAGGUAGCGCCUCGUGAAUUCAUCUCCGGGGGUAGAGCACUGUUUCGGCAAGGGGGUCAUCCCGACUUACCAACCCGAUGCAAACUGCGAAUACCGGAGAAUGUUAUCACGGGAGACACACGGCGGGUGCUAACGUCCGUCGUGAAGAGGGAAACAACCCAGACCGCCAGCUAAGGUCCCAAAGUCAUGGUUAAGUGGGAAACGAUGUGGGAAGGCCCAGACAGCCAGGAUGUUGGCUUAGAAGCAGCCAUCAUUUAAAGAAAGCGUAAUAGCUCACUGGUCGAGUCGGCCUGCGCGGAAGAUGUAACGGGGCUAAACCAUGCACCGAAGCUGCGGCAGCGACACUAUGUGUUGUUGGGUAGGGGAGCGUUCUGUAAGCCUGUGAAGGUGGCCUGUGAGGGUUGCUGGAGGUAUCAGAAGUGCGAAUGCUGACAUAAGUAACGAUAAAGCGGGUGAAAAGCCCGCUCGCCGGAAGACCAAGGGUUCCUGUCCAACGUUAAUCGGGGCAGGGUGAGUCGACCCCUAAGGCGAGGCCGAAAGGCGUAGUCGAUGGGAAACAGGUUAAUAUUCCUGUACUUGGUGUUACUGCGAAGGGGGGACGGAGAAGGCUAUGUUGGCCGGGCGACGGUUGUCCCGGUUUAAGCGUGUAGGCUGGUUUUCCAGGCAAAUCCGGAAAACCAAGGCUGAGGCGUGAUGACGAGGCACUACGGUGCUGAAGCGACAAAUGCCCUGCUUCCAGGAAAAGCCUCUAAGCAUCAGGUAACAUCAAAUCGUACCCCAAACCGACACAGGUGGUCAGGUAGAGAAUACCAAGGCGCUUGAGAGAACUCGGGUGAAGGAACUAGGCAAAAUGGUGCCGUAACUUCGGGAGAAGGCACGCUGAUAUGUAGGUGAAGCGACUUGCUCGUGGAGCUGAAAUCAGUCGAAGAUACCAGCUGGCUGCAACUGUUUAUUAAAAACACAGCACUGUGCAAACACGAAAGUGGACGUAUACGGUGUGACGCCUGCCCGGUGCCGGAAGGUUAAUUGAUGGGGUUAGCGGUAACGCGAAGCUCUUGAUCGAAGCCCCGGUAAACGGCGGCCGUAACUAUAACGGUCCUAAGGUAGCGAAAUUCCUUGUCGGGUAAGUUCCGACCUGCACGAAUGGCGUAAUGAUGGCCAGGCUGUCUCCACCCGAGACUCAGUGAAAUUGAACUCGCUGUGAAGAUGCAGUGUACCCGCGGCAAGACGGAAAGACCCCGUGAACCUUUACUAUAGCUUGACACUGAACAUUGAGCCUUGAUGUGUAGGAUAGGUGGGAGGCUUUGAAGUGUGGACGCCAGUCUGCAUGGAGCCGACCUUGAAAUACCACCCUUUAAUGUUUGAUGUUCUAACGUUGGCCCGUAAUCCGGGUUGCGGACAGUGUCUGGUGGGUAGUUUGACUGGGGCGGUCUCCUCCUAAAGAGUAACGGAGGAGCACGAAGGUUGGCUAAUCCUGGUCGGACAUCAGGAGGUUAGUGCAAUGGCAUAAGCCAGCUUGACUGCGAGCGUGACGGCGCGAGCAGGUGCGAAAGCAGGUCAUAGUGAUCCGGUGGUUCUGAAUGGAAGGGCCAUCGCUCAACGGAUAAAAGGUACUCCGGGGAUAACAGGCUGAUACCGCCCAAGAGUUCAUAUCGACGGCGGUGUUUGGCACCUCGAUGUCGGCUCAUCACAUCCUGGGGCUGAAGUAGGUCCCAAGGGUAUGGCUGUUCGCCAUUUAAAGUGGUACGCGAGCUGGGUUUAGAACGUCGUGAGACAGUUCGGUCCCUAUCUGCCGUGGGCGCUGGAGAACUGAGGGGGGCUGCUCCUAGUACGAGAGGACCGGAGUGGACGCAUCACUGGUGUUCGGGUUGUCAUGCCAAUGGCACUGCCCGGUAGCUAAAUGCGGAAGAGAUAAGUGCUGAAAGCAUCUAAGCACGAAACUUGCCCCGAGAUGAGUUCUCCCUGAGACUUAGAGUCUCCUGAAGGAACGUUGAAGACGACGACGUUGAUAGGCCGGGUGUGUAAGCGCAGCGAUGCGUUGAGCUAACCGGUACUAAUGAACCGUGAG